Long non-coding RNA from Plutella xylostella (diamondback moth), 430 nucleotides. RefSeq lists it as uncharacterized. The record is from RefSeq and is a predicted model, not a curated record. Lineage: Eukaryota; Metazoa; Arthropoda; Insecta; Lepidoptera; Plutellidae.
CAAAAUGCCAAUCCAAUCUGUCAUUGCUGCAAAUGCAAAACCGUAUAAAAAUGUUGAACAUUUUGAUGCGUUUUUACUCAUUUUACUAAUAUUUAUUAGUAUAUAUAAAAGACAGUGAACAAAGUUACUAUUCGUUAAUUUGACUGUGUCUUUUCCAAGCUUAUGUGCUUGUUUAUCAAAUGUAUUUUGGUACUGGGACCGCUGUUCAUCGUCUCAAUAUUGAUGGGCAUAUACCUGCACGACUACUACUGUCCACAUACAUCAAGGUCUAACAGCGCCCUACCAGCAGAAUUCACAUAUGAGCCAAGGAAGGGCUAAGGAUUUCUUUUUUGUGGCUGCCACGACCACAAUACGAUUUUAGUUUAGAUAUUUAUUUUUAGUAUUAAGUAUCUGUUUCAUACAUGAUUAAAUAAAAUAUUUUAUCUGAUUA